GAUGAACGCUGGCGGCGUGCCUAAUACAUGCAAGUCGAGCGAACGGACGAGAGGCUUGCUUCUCUGAUGUUAGCGGCGGACGGGUGAGUAACACGUGGAUAACCUACCUAUAAGACUGGGAUAACUUCGGGAAACCGGAGCUAAUACCGGAUAAUAUUUUGAACCGCAUGGUUCAAAAGUGAAAGACGGUCUUGCUGUCACUUAUAGAUGGAUCCGCGCUGCAUUAGCUAGUUGGUAAGGUAACGGCUUACCAAGGCAACGAUGCAUAGCCGACCUGAGAGGGUGGUCGGCCACACUGGAGCUGCGACACGGACCAGGCUCCUACGGGAGGCAGCAGUAGGGAAUCUUCCGCAAUAGGCGAAAGCCUGACGGAGCAACGCCACGUGAGUGAUGAAGGUCUUCGGAUCGUAAAACUCUGUUAUUAGGGAAGAACAUAUGUGUAAGUAACUGUGCACAUCUUGACGGUACCUAAUCAGAAAGCCACGGCUAACUACGUG
This 497-nucleotide ribosomal RNA is filed under the name uncultured bacterium. Its description in RNAcentral is "partial 16S ribosomal RNA". It matches the Rfam family "Bacterial small subunit ribosomal RNA", at positions 28 to 507 of the family's 1533-position model. The record is from RNAcentral.